Molecule: long non-coding RNA, 1241 nt
Organism: Canis lupus familiaris (dog)
Lineage: Eukaryota; Metazoa; Chordata; Mammalia; Carnivora; Canidae
Exons: 7
Source: RefSeq, a predicted model, not a curated record
GCGUGUGCUGCGCACGCGCACAGGGCACCAGGUCGCCGCUCUCGGGUGUGACGACUGUGGUGUUCGGGAGCUGGAGGUAGUAGGGGUAUCCACGCUGUGUGAGUCCUCCUUGAUCUGUAAUGGGAAUGCCCCUUACUCAGUAUCCAGUGGAUAUGGCCAUGGGUCAAGACACUCUGCUUCAUGGAGAAAUCUUGUUUGCUAUUCCCAACACAGAUUUGGACCACAUAGCCCUUCCAUUUCUCACCAUCAGCAGCAACUUCUAUGACCGUUGACUUCUCAUGAAAGCUCUGUACCUUCAGGACUCUGUUCUUCAAGAGAGCAGCUCCGUGAAGGGGAGGAUAACCACUGGACUUCUAGAAGGCACAUCACUAGCCUUGUGAAUAAGAAAGUGUUUAUAGUGGUCUAUAAGAUUCCAAGAUGUGGCCAUUGACUUCUCCCAAGAAGAAUGGGGAUUCCUGAACCCUGCUCAGAGAAAAUUAUACACAGCUGUGAUGUCAGAGAAUUAUCAGAAUGUGGUCUGGCUAGAUACCUCUAGUCCCAUGGGAUCUGCCCAGUGAUGGCCCAGGCAGCAAGACUGCUCAUAACACAACUUGGACUUUGUUCUGGGUCUCAAUGGAAACUGGUCCUUUCUGCAUUACCCUGUAAGGGGAUCAGAACAGUAUUUGCAAGAUGGAAUAUGCUACCUCCUCUCAAGUACUGUACCUCUUUCUUGAUAGAAGAGCAGAUGUGUCCUACCAGGUCAUCUGGAUUACUUGCCACUUUGUGUUGUUCAGUUCUCAUGAACAUGAUAUCAUCAACAUAGUGGACCAGUGUGAUGUUCUACAGAAUGAUCAGAUACUCCAGAGUCUUCAGAUUAUGCUGUGAUAGAGAGCAGGAGAAUUGACUUCACUACUGGGCCAAGACCCUUGGAUCAGUCUGUUUGGGCUGCCAUAAUAAAGCUCCCUAGACUGGAUGGUGUAAGUAGAGAUAUUUAUUUCCUCAGGCUGGAAGUCUGAGAUCAAAGUGUCAGCAGUGUUGGUUUCUCCUGAGGCCUCUCUUCUUGAUUUGUAGAUAGGCCAUCUCUUUCCUGUGUCUUCUGUGGUCUUCCCUCAAUGUGUGUCAGUGUUGUAAUAUAUUCUAAGAAUACAGUCAUACUGUAUUAGGGUCCAUCCUACUGACUUAAUUUUAUCUCUUUUAAAGGUCCUGUCUCAGGGCACAUGGGUGGCUCAGUGUGUGGUCCUGGGGUCCUGGGGUCAAGUCCC